GAUGAAGAACGUAGCGAAAUGCGAUAAGUAAUGUGAAUUGCAGAAUUCAGUGAAUCAUCGAAUCUUUGAACGCACAUUGCGCCCCCCGGCAUUCCGGGGGGCAUGCCUGUUCGAGCGUCUCCAGGACGAAUCCUCGCGCGAGUGAACGCGCGGUCGUGGCGGAGGUGGCGUGCCCGAGCAGGGCGGCCACCGCGCUGGAAUCCAUGGGCGGACGCCUGCCGCGUGGCCGAGCGUGAUAUGACGCAUUGGCGCGCGUGCGCGGCGAGGCUGCCAGCCCUGGCCCGUCUGUCGGGCGGGGUAGAUCACCACGUGGGAACUCCGCGAAUCAGGUAGGGAUACCCGCUGAACUUAAGCAUAUCAAUAAGCGGAGGA
RNAcentral lists this unclassified non-coding RNA (372 nucleotides) under soil metagenome. RNAcentral describes it as "partial contains 5.8S ribosomal RNA, internal transcribed spacer 2, and large subunit ribosomal RNA". The stretch from base 1 to 120 matches the Rfam family "5.8S ribosomal RNA", at positions 35 to 154 of the family's 154-position model. The record is from RNAcentral.